AUUCAAAUAGCUUAAAUUAAAGCUCAGUGUUGAAGGUACUGCGAUAAGUCUAUCUUUUUGAAUA
Molecule: transfer RNA, 64 nt
Filed under: Inara alboguttata
Lineage: Eukaryota; Metazoa; Arthropoda; Insecta; Hemiptera; Reduviidae
Description: tRNA-Phe
Source: RNAcentral